GACGAACUGUCCAAACGUUGUUCGGAAUCACUGGGCUUAAAGGGCGCGUAGGCGGCGAUGUAAGUCAGGCGUGAAAGCCCCGGGCUCAACCUGGGAACGGCGCUUGAUACUGCGUUGCUUGAGGACGGGAGAGGAUGGUGGAAUUCCCAGUGUAGAGGUGAAAUUCGUAGAUAUUGGGAAGAACACCGGUGGCGAAGGCGGCCAUCUGGACCGUUUCUGACGCUGAGGCGCGAAAGCUAGGGGAGCAAACGGG
RNAcentral lists this ribosomal RNA (253 nucleotides) under uncultured bacterium. RNAcentral describes it as "partial 16S ribosomal RNA". It matches the Rfam family "Bacterial small subunit ribosomal RNA", at positions 524 to 776 of the family's 1533-position model. The record is from RNAcentral.